Molecule: ribosomal RNA, 301 nt
Filed under: uncultured bacterium
Lineage: Bacteria
Description: partial 16S ribosomal RNA
Rfam family: Bacterial small subunit ribosomal RNA
Source: RNAcentral
CAGCAGCCGCGGUAAAACGGUGGGGGCUAGCGUUGUUCGGAAUUACUGGGCGUAAAGCGCACGUAGGCGGCUUGGUAAGUUAGAGGUGAAAGCCUGGAGCUCAACUCCAGAAUUGCCCUUAAGACUGCCAAGCUAGCAGGUGAGAGAGGUAAGUGGAAUUCCGAGUGUAGAGGUGAAAUUCGUAGAUAUUCGGAAGAACACCAGUGGCGAAGGCGGCUUACUGGCUCAUACUGGACGCUGAGGUGCGAAAGCGUGGGGAGCAAACAGGAUUAGAUACCCCCGUAGUCCCUGUCUCUUAUAC